Halichondria panicea is the source of this 1829-nucleotide long non-coding RNA. RefSeq lists it as uncharacterized. The record is from RefSeq and is a predicted model, not a curated record. NCBI's taxonomy places the organism in Eukaryota, Metazoa, Porifera, Demospongiae, Suberitida, Halichondriidae. The transcript has 4 exons.
AAAAGGAGAGCCUGCCUUGCUAAGUCGCGUGACGGUAGACGAGUGGUAGACGAGUGAAAAUGAACGUGGGCAAUCACUAGCUGGGUGGAGCCUGACAGAGCAAAAAGCUACAGCAUGCCUACGCAUUGCAAACUCUAAAUAAAAGCUGUUAGCAUCGUAGAUAGUAAGCCAGAAUCAAGCGUGGAGAUACCGUAGACGAGGGCUUACCUAGUAAAGACUAAAGAGACUAAUUAAUAUCUAAAUUUAGCUCAGUUUUUUUUCCUGAGUUCAGAACAGACCCACUUGAAUAGUAGAUAUAAUUAUUACAGCAGUAUAGUCUACUCUACUCUAGUCUUUCAUACUUCCUCUACUGACUAAAGGUAUCAUGAAGGCUGACUCUACUGCACUGUACUGUACUACCGGUAUACUGUUCAUAACAGAUUAUGUUCCUGGUAAAUGCGCUCCAAGUACUGUGUGGGAGGACAGUUAUUGAGGUUCAAGUGUUGUAGUGCUAGUGGCUACAAAACCAAGAAUUGCCGAUUGACUGGCUAUAUCAACAACUGGGAUGGGUAUAUGAACUACCAUUCUCACUCCGUCUUUGUUGGUGCUUAUAGUCACCAUUCCAAUCGCAAGGAAGAUCGUCUCUGGAAGAUUUUGGAGUGUGACUACAAAAAGUGAGGAAGAACUGAGAGAAAAAGUGUGGAUCUAUAUAUUCAAUGAACAUGUGUAGUAAAACUAAUAAGUUUAGUCAGUAUACGUAUAGAUAGCCUAAAAUUGAGUCUGCUCAGUCUGUCCACACAGUAUAUAUAAUGAAGAAGUCUCAUCAAUGUACACAUUGUACACUACAUAAUGGAAUGUCAGAUAUUAAUUUGUUCCUUGUUAGGCACAUGCAAUUAGGCAGUCAUAGUUUUUAUGGUACAAAAGUACGUAUGAUAAUUACUUCACGGCAGGAACUUUCACUAACAGUUACAUAGCUAAACCAAAACACUAAUCAGAACCUUUUGCGCUCAUGCAGACUACGUAAUCCUAUUAGUAUAAAAGAUAUCACUCACUUCAUAAUUAUACUAAGCAACAAGGAGCAUUGUGGAGCUGAUCACAAGAAGAAAAAACGAAAAGAAAUUCUUUGACAAUGAACUGGCAAGCCUUUGUUGGACUGUUGCUUUUCGUCUCAGUGUUCUCUGCUGAGGGACCAGAAUAACUUCGACCAGCCACUGCACGUCAAUUGUCAAUCAAAAAAGGCUCUUUCUGGAGUCAGGAGCAUCUAUCAUAAUCACUACAGGAUAGACGUUUUCAAUUCCUUUGCAAAAGCAUUACGUCUUACGCUUUCUCUAAAUGCUUCUGGACCGGGUAUGAGAAUCAAUGGGACCAGCCUCUCCUCUUCCAGUGUCCUACUGACCAUGUGAUGUCCGGAGUGAAGAGUAUCCAUAACAAUGGCAAAGAGGAUAGAUUGUGGCAGUUUAAGUGUUGCAAGGCUCCUUGCCAUCAAACGAAGAGUUGUGAGUUGUCCAAGUUCAUCAAUAACUGGAGAGGACUCAUUAACUAUAAUGCUCCUGCUAAUAAGGUGUUUGUGGGUGCCUUCAGCUACCAUGACAACGGACAAGAAGAUCGUAGGUGGAAGAUGCUGCAGUGUGAAUAUAAGAAAGACAAGUAAAGCAAAGCCUAGCUGUGCCAACAACUUUUAUAUGUAGUCUUUUACACAUGAACUGAACAGAUAGAUAAUUUCGUACAAACAGUAUAGAUAAUUUAAGUGUAUAUACUGUAUAGCUGAAACUGUUGGGCACUCUCAGACAAAACUGCUUGUGUUUUCAGUAUAAUAUAAAUGUCCUAAACCAAUGCCAGAUUGAUGUGUG